Molecule: transfer RNA, 76 nt
Filed under: Sphingorhabdus sp.
Lineage: Bacteria; Pseudomonadati; Pseudomonadota; Alphaproteobacteria; Sphingomonadales; Sphingorhabdaceae
Description: tRNA-Ala
Rfam family: tRNA
About the family: Transfer RNA (tRNA) molecules are approximately 80 nucleotides in length.
Source: RNAcentral
GGGGCUGUAGCUCAGUCGGGAGAGCGCGUCGUUCGCAAUGACGAGGUCAGGGGUUCGAUUCCCCUCGGCUCCACCA